Molecule: ribosomal RNA, 518 nt
Filed under: Meyerozyma caribbica
Lineage: Eukaryota; Fungi; Ascomycota; Pichiomycetes; Serinales; Debaryomycetaceae
Description: LSU rRNA
Rfam family: Eukaryotic large subunit ribosomal RNA
Source: RNAcentral
CUGGCACCUUCGGUGUCCGAGUUGUAAUUUGAAGAUUGUAACCUUGGGGUUGGCUCUUGUCUAUGUUUCUUGGAACAGGACGUCACAGAGGGUGAGAAUCCCGUGCGAUGAGAUGCCCAAUCCUAUGUAAGGUGCUUUCGAAGAGUCGAGUUGUUUGGGAAUGCAGCUCUAAGUGGGUGGUAAAUUCCAUCUAAAGCUAAAUAUUGGCGAGAGACCGAUAGCGAACAAGUACAGUGAUGGAAAGAUGAAAAGAACUUUGAAAAGAGAGUGAAAAAGUACGUGAAAUUGUUGAAAGGGAAGGGUUUGAGAUCAGACUCGAUAUUUUGUGAGCCUUGCCUUCGUGGCGGGGUGACCCGCAGCUUAUCGGGCCAGCAUCGGUUUGGGCGGUAGGAUAAUGGCGUAGGAAUGUGACUUUGCUUCGGUGAAGUGUUAUAGCCUGCGUUGAUGCUGCCUGCCUAGACCGAGGACUGCGAUUUUAUCAAGGAUGCUGGCAUAAUGAUCCCAAACCGCCCGUCUUG